AUUCCGUAGGUGAACCUGCGGAAGGAUCAUUAAUGUGUUUGGGCCUCACGGCUCUUCAUUCCGACGCUGUGCGCCUUCGGGCUGCACGCUGAGGGAGCAUAUAUCCACCCCUGUGCACACACACGGUGGCGAGCUGGGUAACGGCUCGCCGCUGAUCUUUACACACGUCUAAAAGUCAUUGUAUGUUUAUUUGAGAUAAAAACACAACUUUCAGCAACGGAUCUCUUGGCUCUC
Molecule: unclassified non-coding RNA, 234 nt
Filed under: plant metagenome
Description: partial contains small subunit ribosomal RNA, internal transcribed spacer 1, and 5.8S ribosomal RNA
Source: RNAcentral